Molecule: microRNA precursor, 165 nt
Filed under: Oryza brachyantha (malo sina)
Lineage: Eukaryota; Viridiplantae; Streptophyta; Magnoliopsida; Poales; Poaceae
Description: MIR812 microRNA precursor family
Rfam family: MIR812 microRNA precursor family
Source: Rfam by way of RNAcentral
UAUAAUGUUUUGACUAUUCGUUUUAUUUGAAAUUUUUCGCGAUUAAUAUUUUUGUUCUUACUAGAUGAUAAAACAUAAAUAGCAAUUUAUGCGUGACUAUUUUUUUUAGUUUUUUACAAAUUUUUUAAAUAAGACGAAUGGUUAAACGUUGGACAUGAAAAAACA